This 1772-nucleotide long non-coding RNA is filed under the name Homo sapiens (human). Its description in RNAcentral is "HSALNT0085583". Lineage: Eukaryota; Metazoa; Chordata; Mammalia; Primates; Hominidae. The record is from RNAcentral.
UCCAACUCCAGCCUGUGCGACGGCGCGAGACUCCGUCUAAAAAAUAAAAAAUAAAAAAAAGAGCUCUUGUAAAUAGACAAACAAUGAUGAAACUCAGAUAUAUUCUCAGUGAGAAGGAUUAGUCACAAAACAGCAAAUGCUGUUUGAUUCCAUGUUUUUGAAAUUCUGAAAAAUUGAAAGCCACAGUGAUACAAGGUCAAGAAGGUCUGCUGCAGUUUGCUGGAAGUCCACUCCAGACCCUGUUCACCUGGGUGUCACCAACGGAGGCUACAGAACAGCAAGGAUUGCUGCCUGCUCCUUCCUUUGUAAGCUUCAUCCCAGAGGGGCACCUGCCAGAUGCCAGCCAGAACUCUCCCGUAUGAGGUCUCUGUCGACCCCUGUUGGGAGGUUUCACCCAGUCAGGUGGCAUGGGUGUCAGGGACCCAGCUGAGGAGGCAGUCUGUUCCUUAGAGCUGGUACACUGUGAUGGGAGAAUCCCUCCUGUCAGGAUCAGCUGCUCUCUUCAGAGCCAGCAGGGAGGAAUAAUUAAAUCCGGUGAAGCUGAGCCCACAACUGCCCCUUCCCCCAGGUGCUCUGUUCCAGGAAGAUGGGGUUUUUUUCUAUAAGGCCCUGACUGGGGCUGUUACCUUUCCUUCAGAGAUGCCCUGCCCACUGAGGAGGAAUCUAGAGAAGCAGGCUGGCCACAGCCACUUUGCUGCACCCAGCUCAUACCUCCCAGCCUCCUUAGCACUGUAAGGGGAAAAUCACCUACUAAAGCCUCAGUAAUGGCAGACGCCCCUCACCCCACCAAGCUUGAUCAUCCCAGGUCGACUUCACACUGCUGUGCUGGCAGUAAGAAUUUCAAGUCAGUGGUUCUUAGCUUGCUGGGCUCUGUGGGAGUGGGACUCAUUGAGUGAGAUCACUUGGUUCUAUGGCUUCAGCCACCUUUCCAGGGAAGUGAACGGUUUUGUCUCACUGAGGUUCCAGGUGCCACAGGGGCACAAAAAAAUACUUCUGCAGCUAGCUUGGUGUCUGCCCAAAUAGCGGCCCAGUUUUGUGCUUGAAACCCAGGGCCCUUGUGGUGUAGGCACACAAGGGAUUCUCCUGAUCUGCAGAUCGCAAAAAUGAUGGAAAAAGCAUAGUAACCCGGCCGGGUAGCACAGUCCCUCAAGGCUUCCCUUGGCUUGGGAAAGGAAGUCCCUGGCUCCUUGUACUUCCCAGGUGAAGUGAUACCCACCCCUGCUUCUGCUCUCUCUCUUUGGUUUGGACCCACUGACUAACAAGUCCCAGUGAGAUGAACUGGGUACCUCAGUUGGAAAUCACCUGCCUUCUGAGUUGGUCUCAUUGGGAGCUGCAGAUUGGAGCUGUUCCUAUUUGGCCAUCUUGGCCACUAAGUUUUUAAAUAAUGACAUUAUUCAUUUUACAUCUUACCAGUGCAUUUAUAGUCACAAUUAUUUUGAAGAAUUGCCAAGAUAUAAUCAAGACCAAGUGAUUUAAAAAAUGUAUGCUCAAGUAUUUGAUAUUUCAAAUUAUAAGAAAAGAUAAUAUUUCUGGUCACUUAUAUUUAAAUGUCUAAAUUAUUUAUCUCUAAAAAGAUAUUUUAAUAGAUUCAAUGCCUAAAAUAUGCUUGAUAUCAGUUAGGGAAAUAUAAAUUGUGAAAUUUGAUUCAAAAUAUUUGGUAGUAAAACAUCACCAAGAGGGGUAACUAAGUGUUGAACAGUAUAUUAAAUUUAAAUACAGAUGAUUCUUGACUUAACAAUUCUUUGACUUAAAGUUUUUCUACUAAAAUGUUG